UGGGGAAUAUUGGACAAUGGGCGCAAGCCUGAUCCAGCCAUGCCGCGUGGAUGAUGAAGGCCCUAGGGUUGUAAAGUCCUUUCGGCGGGGAAGAUAAUGACGGUACCCGCAGAAGAAGCCCCGGCUAACUUCGUGCCAGCAGCCGCGGUAAUACGAAGGGGGCUAGCGUUGCUCGGAAUCACUGGGCGUAAAGCGCACGUAGGCGGACUCUUAAGUCGGUGGUGAAAUCCUGGAGCUCAACUCCAGAACUGCCUUCGAUACUGAGAGUCUCGAGUCCGGGAGAGGUGAGUGGAACUGCGAGUGUAGAGGUGAAAUUCGUAGAUAUUCGCAAGAACACCAGUGGCGAAGGCGGCUCACUGGCCCGGUACUGACGCUGAGGUGCGAAAGCGUGGGGAGCAAACA
This 402-nucleotide ribosomal RNA is filed under the name uncultured Rhodoplanes sp. RNAcentral describes it as "bacterial SSU rRNA". It matches the Rfam family "Bacterial small subunit ribosomal RNA", at positions 355 to 774 of the family's 1533-position model. The record is from RNAcentral. Lineage: Bacteria; Pseudomonadati; Pseudomonadota; Alphaproteobacteria; Hyphomicrobiales; Nitrobacteraceae.